Rattus norvegicus (Norway rat) is the source of this 82-nucleotide non-coding RNA. The record is from Rfam. Lineage: Eukaryota; Metazoa; Chordata; Mammalia; Rodentia; Muridae.
GGGGAUUUAGCUCAGUGGUAGAGCGCUUGCCUAGGAAGCGCAAGGCCCGAGCGCAAGGCCCUGGGUUCGGUCCCCAGCUCCG